This 588-nucleotide ribosomal RNA is filed under the name uncultured Brucellaceae bacterium. RNAcentral's name for it is "bacterial SSU rRNA". It matches the Rfam family "Bacterial small subunit ribosomal RNA", at positions 53 to 690 of the family's 1533-position model. The record is from RNAcentral. Lineage: Bacteria; Pseudomonadati; Pseudomonadota; Alphaproteobacteria; Hyphomicrobiales; Brucellaceae.
UCAUGCAGUCGACGGUCUCUUUGGAGGCAGUGGCAGACGGGUGAGUAAUGCAUGGGAAUCUACCGUUCUCUACGGAAUAACUCAGGGAAACUUGUGCUAAUACCGUAUACGCCCUUUUGGGGAAAGAUUUAUCGGAGAAUGAUGAGCCCAUGUUGGAUUAGCUAGUUGGUAGGGUAAAGGCCUACCAAGGCGACGAUCCAUAGCUGGUCUGAGAGGAUGAUCAGCCACACUGGGACUGAGACACGGCCCAGACUCCUACGGGAGGCAGCAGUGGGGAAUAUUGGACAAUGGGCGCAAGCCUGAUCCAGCCAUGCCGCGUGAGUGAUGAAGGCCCUAGGGUUGUAAAGCUCUUUCACCGGUGAAGAUAAUGACGGUAACCGGAGAAGAAGCCCCGGCUAACUUCGUGCCAGCAGCCGCGGUAAUACGAAGGGGGCUAGCGUUGUUCGGAUUUACUGGGCGUAAAGCGCACGUAGGCGGACUUUUAAGUCAGGGGUGAAAUCCCGGGGCUCAACCCCGGAACUGCCUUUGAUACUGGAAGUCUUGAGUAUGGAAGAGGUAAGUGGAAUUGCGAGUGUAGAGGUGAAAUCG